GGGUGAUAGGGUAUCCUGGUGGUGGGGUCUGUGGGUGGAGGGGUCUCCAGGUGUCCACGUGGCAGGGUGUCUGGGUGGAGGGUUUUCCAGGUGGUGGGGUAACUGGGUGUCUUGGUGUCUGGGGAACAGGGUAUCUGGGUAUCCAAGUGGCAGGGUGUCUAGGUGGUGGGGUGGCUGAGUGCCCAGGUGUCCAAGUGGCUGAGUGGCAGGGUGUCCAGGUGUCUGGGUGGUGGGGUGUCCGGCUAUCUUGGUGUCAAGUGUCUGUGUGUCUUGGUGUCAGGUGUCUGGGUGUCCGGGUGUCCAGGUUUCUGGGUGUCAGGUGUCUGGGUGUCAGGUGUCUGGGUGUCAGCUGUCUGGGUGUCUGGGUGUCUGGAUGUCAGGUGGCUGGGUGUCUGGGUAUCUAGUGUUUGGGUGUCUGGGUGUCCAGGUUUCUUGGUGUCAGGUGUCUGGGUGUCCAAGUGUCCAGGUGUCAGGUGUCUGGGUGUCAGGUGU
This 492-nucleotide long non-coding RNA is filed under the name Homo sapiens (human). RNAcentral's name for it is "non-protein coding lnc-C19orf12-2:2". The record is from RNAcentral. Lineage: Eukaryota; Metazoa; Chordata; Mammalia; Primates; Hominidae.